GAUGAACGCUGGCGGCGUGCCUAACACAUGCAAGUCGAACGAAGCUGUUUAACGGAAGCCUUCGGGUGGAAGUUAAAUAGACUGAGUGGCGGACGGGUGAGUAACGCGUGGGUAACCUGCCCUACACAGGGGGACAACAGCUGGAAACGGCUGCUAAUACCGCAUAAGCGCACAGUACCGCAUGGUACAGUGUGAAAAACUCCGGUGGUGUAGGAUGGACCCGCGUCCGAUUAGCUAGUUGGUGAGGUAAGAGCUCACCAAGGCGACGAUCGGUAGCCGGCCUGAGAGGGCGGACGGCCACAUUGGGACUGAGACACGGCCCAGACUCCUGCGGGAGGCAGCAGUGGGGGAUAUUGCGCAAUGGGGGAAACCCUGACGCAGCAACGCCGCGUGAUUGAAGAAGGCCUUCGGGUUGUAAAGAUCUUUAAUCAGGGACGAAGGAAGUGACGGUACCUGAAGAAUAAGCUCCGGCUAACUACGUGCCAGCAGCCGCCGUAAAAC
This 501-nucleotide ribosomal RNA is filed under the name uncultured bacterium. Its description in RNAcentral is "bacterial SSU rRNA". It matches the Rfam family "Bacterial small subunit ribosomal RNA", at positions 28 to 526 of the family's 1533-position model. The record is from RNAcentral.